GACGAUCGCCGGCGGCGUGCCUAAUACAUGCAAGUAGAACGCUGAAGACUUUAGCUUGCUAAAGUUGGAAGAGUUGCGAACGGGUGAGUAACGCGUAGGUAACCUGCCUACUAGCGGGGGAUAACUAUUGGAAACGAUAGCUAAUACCGCAUAACAGCAUUUAACACAUGUUAGAUGCUUGAAAGGAGCAAUUGCUUCACUAGUAGAUGGACCUGCGUUGUAUUAGCUAGUUGGUGAGGUAACGGCUCACCAAGGCGACGAUACAUAGCCGACCUGAGAGGGUGAUCGGCCACACUGGGACUGAGACACGGCCCAGACUCCUACGGGAGGCAGCAGUAGGGAAUCUUCGGCAAUGGGGGCAACCCUGACCGAGCAACGCCGCGUGAGUGAAGAAGGUUUUCGGAUCGUAAAGCUCUGUUGUAAGAGAAGAACGUGUGUGAGAGUGGAAAGUUCACACAGUGACGGUAACUUACCAGAAAGGGACGGCUAACUACGUGCCAGCAGCCGCGGUAAUACGUAGGUCCCGAGCGUUGUCCGGAUUUAUUGGGCGUAAAGCGAGCGCAGGCGGUUUAAUAAGUCUGAAGUUAAAGGCAGUGGCUUAACCAUUGUUCGCUUUGGAAACUGUUAGACUUGAGUGCAGAAGGGGAGAGUGGAAUUCCAUGUGUAGCGGUGAAAUG
RNAcentral lists this ribosomal RNA (677 nucleotides) under Streptococcus equinus. RNAcentral's name for it is "bacterial SSU rRNA". It matches the Rfam family "Bacterial small subunit ribosomal RNA", at positions 28 to 688 of the family's 1533-position model. Lineage: Bacteria; Bacillati; Bacillota; Bacilli; Lactobacillales; Streptococcaceae. The record is from RNAcentral.